RNAcentral lists this ribosomal RNA (398 nucleotides) under uncultured bacterium. RNAcentral describes it as "bacterial SSU rRNA". It matches the Rfam family "Bacterial small subunit ribosomal RNA", at positions 64 to 507 of the family's 1533-position model. The record is from RNAcentral.
GAGCGCUCGUAGCAAUACGAGAGCGGCAGACGGGAGAGUACACGUGGGAACGUACCCUUCGGUUCGGAAUAACCCAGGGAAACUUGGGCUAAUACCGGAUACGUCCGUAAGGAGAAAGAUUUAUCGCUGAAGGAUCGGCCCGCGUCUGAUUAGCUAGUUGGUGGGGUAACGGCCCACCAAGGCGACGAUCAGUAGCUGGUCUGAGAGGAUGAUCAGCCUCACUGGGACUGAGACACGGCCCAGACUCCUACGGGAGGCAGCAGUGGGGAAUUUUGCGCAAUGGGGGAAACCCUGACGCAGCAACGCCGCGUGGAGGAUGAAGUCCUUCGGGACGUAAACUCCUUUCGAUCGGGACGAUUAUGACGGUACCGGAAGAAGAAGCCCCGGCUAACUUCGUG